RNAcentral lists this ribosomal RNA (839 nucleotides) under Neofusicoccum sp. 5 JZG-2016. RNAcentral's name for it is "eukaryotic LSU rRNA". It matches the Rfam family "Eukaryotic large subunit ribosomal RNA", at positions 87 to 944 of the family's 3401-position model. RNAcentral also lists the same sequence under 1 other name. Lineage: Eukaryota; Fungi; Ascomycota; Dothideomycetes; Botryosphaeriales; Botryosphaeriaceae. The record is from RNAcentral.
CGGCGAGUGAAGCGGCAAUAGCUCAAAUUUGAAAGCUGGCCCCUUCGGGGUCCGCGUUGUAAUUUGUAGAGGAUGAUUCGGCGAGGGCUCCCGUCUAAGUCCCUUGGAACAGGGCGUCAUAGAGGGUGAGAAUCCCGUAUGUGAUGGGCUGCCUUAGCCAUGUGAAUCUCCUUCGACGAGUCGAGUUGUUUGGGAAUGCAGCUCUAAAUGGGAGGUAAAUUUCUUCUAAAGCUAAAUACCGGCCAGAGACCGAUAGCGCACAAGUAGAGUGAUCGAAAGAUGAAAAGCACUUUGGAAAGAGAGUUAAAAAGUACGUGAAAUUGUUGAAAGGGAAGCGCUUGCAGCCAGACUUGUCCGCAGUUGCUCAGCUUGUCUCCUGACAGGCGUACUCUUCUGCGGCCAGGCCAGCAUCAGUUCGGGCGGUCGGAUAAAGACCCGGGGAAUGUAGCUCCUCUCGGGGAGUGUUAUAGCCCUGGGUGCAAUGCGGCCAGCCUGGACUGAGGAUCUCGCUUCGGCUAGGAUGCUGGCGUAAUGGCUGUAAGCGGCCCGUCUUGAAACACGGACCAAGGAGUCUAACAUCUAUGCGAGUGUUUGGGUGUCAAACCCAUGCGCGUAAUGAAAGUGAACGGAGGUGGGAACCCUCACGGGUGCACCAUCGACCGAUCCUGAUGUCUUCGGAUGGAUUUGAGUAAGAGCAUAGCUGUUGGGACCCGAAAGAUGGUGAACUAUGCCUGAAUAGGGUGAAGCCAGAGGAAACUCUGGUGGAGGCUCGCAGCGGUUCUGACGUGCAAAUCGAUCGUCAAAUUUGGGUAUAGGGGCGAAAGACUAAUCGAACCAUC